GACGAACGCUGGCGGCGUGCCUAAUACAUGCAAGUCGAACGCUGACGGAGGAGCUUGCUUCUCUGGAUGAGUUGCGAACGGGUGAGUAACGCGUAGGUAACCUGCCUGGUAGCGGGGGAUAACUAUUGGAAACGAUAGCUAAUACCGCAUAAGAGUAGAUGUUGCAUGACAUUGGCUUAAAAGGUGCAAUUGCAUCACUACCAGAUGGACCUGCGUUGUCUUAGCUAGUUUGUGGGGUAACGGCUUACCAAGGCGACGAUACAUAGCCGGCCUGGGGGGGGGGUUGGGCACCCUUGGAAUGGGACCCGGCCCCGGACCCUUCGGGGAGCCGCCGUAGGGGAUCUUCGGCCAUGGACGGAAGUCUGACCGCACAACGCCGCGUGAGUGAAGAAGGGUUUCGGAUCGUAAAGCUCUGUUGUAAGGGAAGAACGAGGGUGAGAGUGGAAAGUUCACUCUGUGACGGUAUCUUACCAGAAAGGGACGGCUAACUACGUG
This 495-nucleotide ribosomal RNA is filed under the name uncultured bacterium. Its description in RNAcentral is "partial 16S ribosomal RNA". It matches the Rfam family "Bacterial small subunit ribosomal RNA", at positions 28 to 507 of the family's 1533-position model. The record is from RNAcentral.